GACCUAGUGGUGUAGUGGUAACAUAUCAACAUGAAGUAACCAGGUAGGAUCCAAGUUUCAGUAGAGGACCCCUGUUCAAUUCAGGGCUGGGUCA
Mycena rebaudengoi is the source of this 94-nucleotide non-coding RNA. Lineage: Eukaryota; Fungi; Basidiomycota; Agaricomycetes; Agaricales; Mycenaceae. The record is from the annotation of a GenBank genome assembly.